RNAcentral lists this ribosomal RNA (481 nucleotides) under uncultured bacterium. Its description in RNAcentral is "partial 16S ribosomal RNA". It matches the Rfam family "Bacterial small subunit ribosomal RNA", at positions 28 to 507 of the family's 1533-position model. The record is from RNAcentral.
GAUGAACGCUGGCGGCGUGCUUAACACAUGCAAGUCGAACGAAGCAUUUAGGACAGAUUACUUCGGUUUGAAGUUCUUUAUGACUGAGUGGCGGACGGGUGAGUAACGCGUGGGUAACCUGCCUUGUACUGGGGGAUAGCAGCUGGAAACGGCUGGUAAUACCGCAUAAGCGCACAAUGUUGCAUGACAUGGUGUGAAAAACUCCGGUGGUAUAAGAUGGACCCGCGCCUGAUUAGCUAGUUGGUGAGAUAACAGCCCACCAAGGCGACGAUCAGUAGCCGACCUGAGAGGGUGACCGGCCACAUUGGGACUGAGACACGGCCCAGACUCCUACGGGAGGCAGCAGUGGGGAAUAUUGCACAAUGGAGGAAACUCUGAUGCAGCGACGCCGCGUGAGUGAAGAAGUAAUUCGUUAUGUAAAGCUCUAUCAGCAGGGAAGAUAGUGACGGUACCUGACUAAGAAGCUCCGGCUAAAUACGUG